RNAcentral lists this ribosomal RNA (449 nucleotides) under uncultured bacterium. Its description in RNAcentral is "partial 16S ribosomal RNA". It matches the Rfam family "Bacterial small subunit ribosomal RNA", at positions 29 to 523 of the family's 1533-position model. The record is from RNAcentral.
AACGAACGCUGGCGGCAUGCCUAACACAUGCAAGUCGAACGAGAUCUUCGGGUCUAGUGGCGCACGGGUGCGUAACGCGUGGGAAUCUGCCCUUUGGUUCGGAAUAACAGUUGGAAACGACUGCUAAUACCGGAUGAUGACGAAAGUCCAAAGAUUUAUCGCCAGAGGAUGAGCCCGCGUAGGAUUAGGUAGUUGGUGUGGUAAAGGCGCACCAAGGCGACGAUCCUUGGCUGGUCUGAGAGGAUGAUCAGCCACACUGGGCCUGAGACACGGCCCAGACUCCUACGGGAGGCAGCAGUGGGGAAUAUUGGACAAUUGACGAAAGCCUGAUCCAGCAAUGCCGGGUGAGUGAUGAAGGCCUUAGGGUUGUAAAGCUCUUUUACCCGGGAUGGUAAUGACAGUACCGGGAGAAUAAGCUCCGGCUAACUCCGUGCCAGCAGCCGCCGUAA